UACGGAGGAUCCGAGCGUUAUCCGGAUUUAUUGGGUUUAAAGGGUGCGUAGGCGGCCUGUUAAGUCAGGGGUGAAAGACGGUAGCUCAACUAUCGCAGUGCCCUUGAUACUGAUGGGCUUGAAUGUACUAGAGGUAGGCGGAAUGUGACAAGUAGCGGUGAAAUGCAUAGAUAUGUCACAGAACACCAAUUGCGAAGGCAGUUCACUAGGCCUGUAUUGACACUGAGGCACGAAAGCGUGGGGAUCAAACAGG
This 253-nucleotide ribosomal RNA is filed under the name uncultured prokaryote. Its description in RNAcentral is "partial 16S ribosomal RNA". It matches the Rfam family "Bacterial small subunit ribosomal RNA", at positions 524 to 776 of the family's 1533-position model. The record is from RNAcentral.